Non-coding RNA from Camellia sinensis, 5150 nucleotides. The record is from RefSeq and is a predicted model, not a curated record. NCBI's taxonomy places the organism in Eukaryota, Viridiplantae, Streptophyta, Magnoliopsida, Ericales, Theaceae.
GUAAAACUUAAUACUUGGUAACAAUUAUUUCUAACUAGUGGAUUAUCGCAGCUGAUUGGUGGGCAUCAUAUGGUUCUUAUACUCCAAACUUGCAAACUUUUGCUAUAAAAGUCCUUAGCCUAACAUGUAGUUCAUCGGGUUGUGAACGAAAUUGGAGUGUAUUCGAACAUCUUCAUAGCAAGAAAAGAAAUAGAUUGGAACAACAACGUCUCAAUGAUUUAGUGUAUGUCAAAUACAAUAGAACAUUGAGAUUUAGGUAUGACAUGCGCAACACUCUUGAUCCCAUAUCUUUGCAAAAUAUUGAUGAAAGCAAUGAGUGGUUGCUUGGGAGGAUGGAUGGAGAAUCAGAUGAAGAUAAUGAGCCUGUGUUUGAUGAUGAUGAUGGCUUGACGUGAGCCACUGUUGCUAGAGCUUCUGGAGUAGAAGAAAGUAGCCAUGCAAGUAGAGCAACAAGUUCACGCUCAAAGGCACAACUGAGGAUAUCUAAAUCAUCAAUAUUAGCACGACUUCAAUUAAUAGAUGAAGAGGAAGCGGGCUCAGAUGACACAAAGGAGGAAGAUGUUGAGGGACACAAAUCAACUGAUGGAGAAGAAGAUGAUAGUUUGCUUGCCAUUGAUGUUGAGGAUGAUGAUUGACUGACCGACCUAACCUACCCUUUCCUUUGAUAUUGAUGUUUUUAAGUGUUAAGACAUAUAUUAGUAUUUGUUGGAUAUUUAUGUUUUGGAUAUUUGGUGUUUAUGUUUUUAUUUUUAUUUUUAUUUUAUUGAAUGUGGAUUAUUUUAUAUUUGAAAAUUGAAAUGUUAUGUAAUAUGCACUUUCAUGGCUUUGAAAAUUAUUCUAUAUUUUGCCUUGAAUCUUGAUUAUUUUUUAUUUUUAAAAAAAUUGUCUUAGUACUAUGAACGAUUAGUCUAUAUUAAUUUUUCUAUUUUUUACUAAAACUGUGCGCCUCACUUCAAUAAAGUCCGCGCCUCGCCUUGCGCCUUGGCCCCGAGAGACCUUCAGCGCCUUAGUGCGCCUUGAGCCUUUAAAAACACUGACCGGAAGUUUGUGGCGCAAGAGCGGGUCUUCAAGUUCUUGGAAGGCCUAAAUGUGGAGUAUGAUCCGGUUCGGAGCAAAGUACUUGGCAUGGAUGUGCUUCCUUCUCUCCAAGAAACCUUUGCUUUUGUACAGAAUGAGAAGAGUCGCCGUUCUGCGAUACUUCCUUUUGCUACUACUGAUAGCUCGGCCUUGGUUUCUGCACCCUCUCGCGAUGGCGAUCGUGUGACUCGUGGUUCUCGUCCUUCCUUUGAGAAGGAUCAUCUUUACUGUGACUAUUGUCGUCGACCUCGCCACACACGUAAGACUUGUUAGAAGCUGUAUGGAACUCCCUCUGGUGGCCGAGGCGACCGUCUUGGUACUCGAGGGGUUGGUCUGGUACUAGAGGCCACGAGGCCAAUGCACAAGCCCAUCUUUCAGACACUGUUAAGCCACCAUCUUCAUCUCCAGUUGUCUCCUCCGCUACUGAUGUCUCGGGAUUAUCUGCCUCAGAUUUUGAGAUUGUUCUUCGCCACUUGCUAGACCAUCGAGCCUCCACUUCUACUACAGGUGCACCUUCUUUUCCUUUGCUAAUUAAGGUAACUUGGCUUCCUCCCCAUGUGCAUUGCUAUCUCAUACGACUAUAACAUGGAUUAUUGAUUCUGGUGCUUCCGACCAUAUGUCUGGCUCCUCUAAUUUAUUUUCCGAGUAUAACCCCUCCUCAAGUCAGGAAAAAGUACGUAUUAUUGAGGGUACCAUUUCGUCUGUGUCAGGGAAAGGUUUAAUUCAUGCCACCUCUUCCCUUCCUUUGUCUUUUGUCCUUCAUGUUCCUAAUUUCAGCGUUAAUCUUUUAUCUUUGAAUCGUAUUACUCGUGACUUAAAUUAUAGCAUGACGUUUUUUCCUGAUCAUUGUCUUUUUCAGGACCUUAUCACGAGGAAGAGGAUUGGCAGUGGUAGAGAGGAAAAUGGGCUCUACAUUAUGGAUCAAACAGACAAGCUGGCUCAUUCAUCUAUUCAGUUAUCAUCUACCAAGGAAGACAUUUGGUUGUGGCACCGUCGCUUAGGACAUCCCUCUUUUUUAUAACUUAAGCAUUUAUUUCCUUCUGUUUUUGAGAAAAAUAAUGUGUCGAUUUUCAAUGUGAGUCUUGUCAACUUGGAAAACAACAGAGAGCCUCUUUUGCUCCUUCUAUUAAUAAAAGUUUAGUUGUAUUUUCUUUAAUUCAUUCUGAUGUAUGAGAUCCAUCCCGUUUUGUGUCUUUAACCGGUCAAAAAUGGUUUAUUACCUUCAUAGAUGAUUGUUCCAGGGCCACUUGAGUCUAUUUGAUGAAAGAUAAAAAUAAGGUAUUUUUUGUGUUUCAAAACUACCAUAAAAUAGUUUGUACUCAAUUUGGGGAGAUUGUCAAAAUUCUACGUUCUGAUAAUGGGAAGGAAUAUAUUGACUCUGGUCUUACCACUUACUUCGCCACUCAUGGCAUUAUUCACCAGAUUUCAUGCACUAAUACCCCUCAACAAAAUGGUAUUGCAGAACGCAAAAAUCACCAUCUUCUUGAUAUCGCCCGUUGUCUAUCCUUUGAGAUACGGGUUCCUUGAUCCUAUUGGGGGGAAGCAAUUCUCACUGCUGCUUAUUUGAUUAAUCGUCUUUCUACCCAAGUACUUCAAAAACAAACACAUCUUCAAGUUUUGUUCGGGUCUACCCCUUUCGAGUGCUCCAUUCCUCCUAAGACUUUUGGCUACGUUUGCUUUGUCCAUAAUCAUUCACCCACUCGUGAUAAAUUAGAUCAUAGGUCUCUUAAGUGUGUUUUUCUGAGUUAUUCUGCCACCAAAAAGGGUUAUAAGUGAUAUCAUCCUCCCACUCGCAAAUAGUUUGUCUCCAUAGAUGUCACUUUCUUUGAGUCUCAACCUUACUUUCCGACCUCCUCGGCUCACAGUCAUUCCUUCAGGAAGCGCCUUGGUGUGAAGAGAUUCUUAUUCCACUUCCGCCAGUGAUUGAACAGAUAAAGGAUGAUGAGCCAGCAGUUGUUGAGGAAAAGGAAGCAGGCAAAGUUUAUAUCAGGGACAAGGACAGACAGCAAGUCACCUGGAUGCAAGAGACUAUUUUCCUUCCUCUAUUGCCACCGGAUGAGUGUCCAGAGUCACCCCCCUCUCCUGAGAGUUCAGAUAAUUCUGAUUCUAGUGCUUAUAUUCCUGCUUUUUCAAAUCUAGAUGUUCUCAUUGCUAAUAGAAAGGGGGUUAGGUCAUGUACUCAGCAUCCUAUUACUAAUCAUGUCUCUUAUUCUCAUCUGUCUUCCUCAUAUAAAGUUUUUCUGUCUAAAGUGCCUUCUGUAAGUCUACCUACCAAUUUUCAGGAUGUUCUCUCUAUUCCUGAAUGGAAACAUGCCAUGAUGGAAGAGAUAAGAACUCUCAGCAAGAGUGGCAGUUGGGAGUUAGUGGAGUUACCUAGAGGCAAAAAUCCAGUUGGGUGUAAGUGGGUGUACACAGUAAAACACAAAGCAGAUGGUUCUAUAGAACGGUACAAAGCGAGACUGGUUGCUAAGGGUUUCACUCAAACUUCUAGGGUGGAUUACCAGAGACAUUUGCACCGGUUGCUAAGAUGAAUUCUAUGAGAAUCUUGCUCUCUCUUGCUGCAAAUUUGGAUUGGCCACUUUAUCAGUUUGAUGUGAAGAAUGCAUUCAUUUAUGGAGACCUAGCAGAAGAGGUAUAUAUGGAUAUUCCCCUAGUUUUGCGAAUGUUCAAUCUAACGGUAAAGUAUGCAGGCUCCGAAAGCCACUUUAUAAGUUAAAGCAAUCUCCUAGGGCUUGGUUUGAAAGGUUUGCUCAAGCUACGCUGAAAUAUGGGUUCAAGAAAAGUCAAGCUAAUAACACCUUGUUUGUGAAACACUCCUCACAUGGUAAGACCAUAGCUCUUAUUGUCUAUGUUGAUGAUAUUGUUCUGACAGGAGAUGAUAUUGAGGAGAUUUCUCGUUUGAAAGAAUACUUAGCCAAAGAGUUUGAAAUCAAAGACUUAGGCUAUUUGAAGUAUUUUUUGGGUAUUGAAGUAGCUCGGUCCAAGGAUGGCAUCUUCAUAUGUCAGAGGAAAUAUGUAUUUGACUUGCAAAAGGAAACUAGCAUACUUGGAAGUAGACCAUGUGAUACGCCUCUAGAACCGGGCCAGAAACUGAGUGAGAAUCAAGAGGGAGAUCCAGUGGACAGGAGGAGAUACCAGAGACUAGUGGGCAAGCUCAUAUACUUAUCCCACUCACGUCCCAACAUUGCCAUUACUGUGAGCAUGGUGAGCCAGUUUAUGCAUACUCCUAGAACUUCCCACUUGGAGGCAGUUAUGAGAAUCCUGAGAUACCUGAAGUCUUCUCUUGGAAAGGGUCUCUAUUUCUCAAAACAUGGCCAUCUCAGUGUGGAGGCAUUUACUGAUGCAGAUUGGGCUAGAUCAGUCACUGACAAACGAUCAACUUCUGAAUACUGCACAUUUGUGGGUGGCAACCUAGUCACGUGGCGAAGUAAGAAACAGAAUGUGGUGGCUAGAUCUAGUACUGCAGCAGAAUUCAGGACUAUGGCUCAGGAUGUAUGUGAGUUACUAUGGAUUAAACUACUAUUGGGAGACCUGGUAAUCCAUCAGACUGACUCCAUGCAACUAUACUGUGACAACAAGGUCGUAAUCAACAUAACUCAUAAUCCAGUUCAACAUGAUAAAACUAAGCAUAUGGAGAUUGAUACGCACUUCAUCAAAGAAAAACUCACUAGUGGCAUCAUAUGUAUUCUAUUUGUGAAGACUGGAGACCAACUAGCCGAUAUUCUCACCAAAGAGCUAGGGAGCAAACCAUUUCAUGACAUUCUCAACAAACUGAGCAAGAGAGAUAUCUUUGCACCAACUUGAGGGGGAGUGUUAGAAUAGGCAACGAGUUAGAAUAGGAAAUAUGUGAUUGUAUUUUCUUCUUAUUUAUUCCUUGAUUGGUGUAAUAAGUUGGCCCAUAUAUUAUGCCUUAUGGCACUCCUAUAAUUACUCAGUAUUAUUAAUAUAAAAGGGAAUGAGGUCUAACUCACUCUCUAACUUUUUCUCUUCUCUAAACCUUCGGAUCACAUAUGCAGGGAAAGUGGCAUUCAAGCUCAGUUCCUCAAGCUCCUAAGAAUUGCAAGUUAAGCCAA